RNAcentral lists this ribosomal RNA (1540 nucleotides) under Vibrio parahaemolyticus NIHCB0603. Its description in RNAcentral is "bacterial SSU rRNA". It matches the Rfam family "Bacterial small subunit ribosomal RNA". The record is from RNAcentral. Lineage: Bacteria; Pseudomonadati; Pseudomonadota; Gammaproteobacteria; Vibrionales; Vibrionaceae.
AGAGUUUGAUCAUGGCUCAGAUUGAACGCUGGCGGCAGGCCUAACACAUGCAAGUCGAGCGGAAACGAGUUAUCUGAACCUUCGGGGAACGAUAGCGGCGUCGAGCGGCGGACGGGUGAGUAAUGCCUAGGAAAUUGCCCUGAUGUGGGGGAUAACCAUUGGAAACGAUGGCUAAUACCGCAUGAUGCCUACGGGCCAAAGAGGGGGACCUUCGGGCCUCUCGCGUCAGGAUAUGCCUAGGUGGGAUUAGCUAGUUGGUGAGGUAAGGGCUCACCAAGGCGACGAUCCCUAGCUGGUCUGAGAGGAUGAUCAGCCACACUGGAACUGAGACACGGUCCAGACUCCUACGGGAGGCAGCAGUGGGGAAUAUUGCACAAUGGGCGCAAGCCUGAUGCAGCCAUGCCGCGUGUGUGAAGAAGGCCUUCGGGUUGUAAAGCACUUUCAGUCGUGAGGAAGGUAGUGUAGUUAAUAGCUGCAUUAUUUGACGUUAGCGACAGAAGAAGCACCGGCUAACUCCGUGCCAGCAGCCGCGGUAAUACGGAGGGUGCGAGCGUUAAUCGGAAUUACUGGGCGUAAAGCGCAUGCAGGUGGUUUGUUAAGUCAGAUGUGAAAGCCCGGGGCUCAACCUCGGAAUUGCAUUUGAAACUGGCAGACUAGAGUACUGUAGAGGGGGUAGAAUUUCAGGUGUAGCGGUGAAAUGCGUAGAGAUCUGAAGGAAUACCGGUGGCGAAGGCGGCCCCCUGGACAGAUACUGACACUCAGAUGCGAAAGCGUGGGGAGCAAACAGGAUUAGAUACCCUGGUAGUCCACGCCGUAAACGAUGUCUACUUGGAGGUUGUGGCCUUGAGCCGUGGCUUUCGGAGCUAACGCGUUAAGUAGACCGCCUGGGGAGUACGGUCGCAAGAUUAAAACUCAAAUGAAUUGACGGGGGCCCGCACAAGCGGUGGAGCAUGUGGUUUAAUUCGAUGCAACGCGAAGAACCUUACCUACUCUUGACAUCCAGAGAACUUUCCAGAGAUGGAUUGGUGCCUUCGGGAACUCUGAGACAGGUGCUGCAUGGCUGUCGUCAGCUCGUGUUGUGAAAUGUUGGGUUAAGUCCCGCAACGAGCGCAACCCUUAUCCUUGUUUGCCAGCGAGUAAUGUCGGGAACUCCAGGGAGACUGCCGGUGAUAAACCGGAGGAAGGUGGGGACGACGUCAAGUCAUCAUGGCCCUUACGAGUAGGGCUACACACGUGCUACAAUGGCGCAUACAGAGGGCAGCCAACUUGCGAAAGUGAGCGAAUCCCAAAAAGUGCGUCGUAGUCCGGAUUGGAGUCUGCAACUCGACUCCAUGAAGUCGGAAUCGCUAGUAAUCGUGGAUCAGAAUGCCACGGUGAAUACGUUCCCGGGCCUUGUACACACCGCCCGUCACACCAUGGGAGUGGGCUGCAAAAGAAGUAGGUAGUUUAACCUUCGGGGGGACGCUUACCACUUUGUGGUUCAUGACUGGGGUGAAGUCGUAACAAGGUAGCGCUAGGGGAACCUGGCGCUGGAUCACCU